RNAcentral lists this ribosomal RNA (385 nucleotides) under uncultured bacterium. Its description in RNAcentral is "bacterial SSU rRNA". It matches the Rfam family "Bacterial small subunit ribosomal RNA", at positions 8 to 393 of the family's 1533-position model. The record is from RNAcentral.
AGAGUUUGAUCCUGGCUCAGAUUGAACGCUGGCGGAAUGCUUUACACAUGCAAGUCGAACGGCAGCACGGGGGCAACCCUGGUGGCGAGUGGCGAACGGGUGAGUAAUACAUCGGAACGUGCCCAGUCGUGGGGGAUAACGCAGCGAAAGCUGUGCUAAUACCGCAUACGAUCUACGGAUGAAAGCGGGGGACUCGCAAGGGCCUCGCGCGAUUGGAGCGGCCGAUGGCAGAUUAGGUAGUUGGUGGGGUAAAGGCUCACCAAGCCUGCGAUCUGUAGCUGGUCUGAGAGGACGACCAGCCACACUGGGACUGAGACACGGCCCAGACUCCUACGGGAGGCAGCAGUGGGGAAUUUUGGACAAUGGGCGCAAGCCUGAUCCAGCC